Molecule: ribosomal RNA, 406 nt
Filed under: uncultured delta proteobacterium
Lineage: Bacteria; Deltaproteobacteria
Description: bacterial SSU rRNA
Rfam family: Bacterial small subunit ribosomal RNA
Source: RNAcentral
UGGGGAAUAUUGGGCAAUGGGGGCAACCCUGACCCAGCGACGCCGCGUGAGGGAAGAAGGCCUUCGGGUCGUAAACCGCUUUUGUACGUGAAGAAGCAGAUGACGGUAGCGUACGAAUAAGUCCCGGCUAACUACGUGCCAGCAGCCGCGGUAAUACGUAGGGGACGAGCGUUGUCCGGAAUUACUGGGCGUAAAGGGCGCGCAGGCUGCGCGUCGAGUCGGCUGUUAAAGAUCCGGGCUUAACCCGGUGAAGCGGUCGAGACCGACGAGCUGGAGUGCUGCAGAGGCAAGUGGAAUUCCCGGUGUAGCGGUGAAAUGCGUAGAUAUCGGGAAGAACACCGGUGGCGAAGGCGACUUGCUGGGCAGCAACUGACGCUGAGGCGCGAAAGCCAGGGGAGCAAACGGG